This 795-nucleotide ribosomal RNA is filed under the name Chryseobacterium takakiae. RNAcentral describes it as "bacterial SSU rRNA". It matches the Rfam family "Bacterial small subunit ribosomal RNA", at positions 67 to 865 of the family's 1533-position model. Lineage: Bacteria; Pseudomonadati; Bacteroidota; Flavobacteriia; Flavobacteriales; Weeksellaceae. The record is from RNAcentral.
CGGUAGAGAUCUUUCGGGAUCUUGAGAGCGGCGUACGGGUGCGGAACACGUGUGCAACCUGCCUUUAUCAGGGGGAUAGCCUUUCGAAAGGAAGAUUAAUACCCCAUAAUAUAUUGAUUGGCAUCAAUUGAUAUUGAAAACUGAGGUGGAUAAAGAUGGGCACGCGCAAGAUUAGAUAGUUGGUGAGGUAACGGCUCACCAAGUCGAUGAUCUUUAGGGGGCCUGAGAGGGUGAUCCCCCACACUGGUACUGAGACACGGACCAGACUCCUACGGGAGGCAGCAGUGAGGAAUAUUGGACAAUGGGUUAGCGCCUGAUCCAGCCAUCCCGCGUGAAGGACGACGGCCCUAUGGGUUGUAAACUUCUUUUGUACAGGGAUAAACCUUUCCACGUGUGGAAAGCUGAAGGUACUGUACGAAUAAGCACCGGCUAACUCCGUGCCAGCAGCCGCGGUAAUACGGAGGGUGCAAGCGUUAUCCGGAUUUAUUGGGUUUAAAGGGUCCGUAGGCGGAUGUGUAAGUCAGUGGUGAAAUCUCACAGCUUAACUGUGAAACUGCCAUUGAUACUGCAUGUCUUGAGUAAGGUAGAAGUGGCUGGAAUAAGUAGUGUAGCGGUGAAAUGCAUAGAUAUUACUUAGAACACCAAUUGCGAAGGCAGGUCACUAUGUCUUAACUGACGCUGAUGGACGAAAGCGUGGGGGAGCGAACAGGAUUAGAUACCCCUGGUAGUCCACGCUGUAAACGAUGCUUACUCGUUUUUUGGGGGAUUUAUCUUUCAGAGACUAAUGCGAAAAGU